Molecule: ribosomal RNA, 497 nt
Filed under: uncultured bacterium
Lineage: Bacteria
Description: partial 16S ribosomal RNA
Rfam family: Bacterial small subunit ribosomal RNA
Source: RNAcentral
GAUGAACGCUGGCAGCGUGCCUAAUACAUGCAAGUCGAGCGAACGGACGAGAAGCUUGCUUCUCUGAUGUUAGCGGCGGACGGGUGAGUAACACGUGGAUAACCUACCUAUAAGACUGGGAUAACUUCGGGAAACCGGAACUAAUACCGGAUGAUAUUUUGAACCGCAUGGUUCAAAAGUGAAAGACGGUCUUGCUGUCACUUAUAGAUGGAUCCGCGCUGCAUUAGCUAGUUGGUAAGGUAACGGCUUACCAAGGCAACGAUGCAUAGCCGACCUGAGAGGGUGAUCGGCCACACUGGAACUGAGACACGGUCCAGACUCCUACGGGAGGCAGCAGUAGGGAAUCUUCCGCAAUGGGCGAAAGCCUGACGGAGCAACGCCGCGUGAGUGAUGAAGGUCUUCGGAUCGUAAAACUCUGUUAUUAGGGAAGAACAUAUGUGUAAGUAACUGUGCACAUCUUGACGGUACCUAAUCAGAAAGCCACGGCUAACUACGUG